This 402-nucleotide ribosomal RNA is filed under the name uncultured bacterium. RNAcentral's name for it is "bacterial SSU rRNA". It matches the Rfam family "Bacterial small subunit ribosomal RNA", at positions 355 to 774 of the family's 1533-position model. The record is from RNAcentral.
UUGGGAAUCUUGGACAAUGGGGGAAACCCUGAUCCAGCCAUGCCGCGUGAGUGAUGAAGGCCUUCGGGUUGUAAAACUCUUUCGGCGGGGACGAUAAUGACGGUACCCGCAGAAGAAUCUCCGGCUAACUUCGUGCCAGCAGCCGCGGUAAUACGAAGGGGGCUAGCGUUGUUCGGAAUUACUGGGCGUAAAGCGCGCGCAGGCGGCUAUCCAAGUCAGUGGUGCAAGCCCGGAGCUCAACUCCGGAACUGCCAUUGAAACUGUUUAGCUUGAGGACGAGAGAGGUGAGUGGAAUUCCCAGUGUAGAGGUGAAAUUCGUAGAUAUUGGGAAGAACACCGGUGGCGAAGGCGGCUCACUGGCUCGUUUCUGACGCUCAGGCGCGAUAGCGUGGGGAUCAAACA